Long non-coding RNA from Frankliniella occidentalis (western flower thrips), 1259 nucleotides. RefSeq lists it as uncharacterized. The transcript is spliced from 4 exons. Lineage: Eukaryota; Metazoa; Arthropoda; Insecta; Thysanoptera; Thripidae. The record is from RefSeq and is a predicted model, not a curated record.
UUUAAUAGGCUUGCAAGGAAACUGAACUCUGAAUGUAUGAGAUUUUCAAAAGAUCUCAACUUAUUUCCUGCUGCUGCUGCUGGAACAACAUACCUUUGACUUUAGGUGCGGGGACUCCCAUUUUCUAAAACAUUUUGUGUGAACGAGACGGCAUUUUGGCACAUUCGCGUGGUCUUGUCUAGAUAGAUGACGUUUGCAGCACAGCUAGCAACAAUAACAUCAACAGAUCGCUCUCAAACCGAGGUCAACGACCUGAGCGUAUCCCCCACUCCUUCCUUCUCGUCAGUGUAAACCGCGCGCUUUUGGGGUCUUGAAAGUGUAUCUAAAAUAAAAUAUUCAAGCAUUGGCCAGUGCAAAAUCUUUCAGUUUUCAAAAGAAUUGUAUUUAGCGGUACCGUGAAAUUACCGACGAGAAAAUAUAUGUGUCCUUUUGUCCGACCCGUGACGCUCAGCCCGUCACUCUUCGGUAGUUGGCAGUAAUGCAGAGAAGAACUUUUUAGCAGCAGUACACACCAUACCUGUUUUGGCGGUUUUCGGAGUGCGAGCACAUUAUUCCAAGGUAGAAUUUCGUUAAAUCUAAUCCUUGCCAAGAUUGCAAAGUCGUUUUUCCCUUCCAAAACAAUUUCCUUUUUAAAAAAAUAUUGUUAGGCAAAGAGGGCAAAGAAAAAAUCAUAGUACCCUCGUCUGGCUGUUGACCUAUCCAACUAGAUUUUUUACUUUAAAUCUUAAAUACUACCUCAUUACAUGGUGAAAUUUAGCUGUUUCAAUUCAUUUAACAUAAACCAACUUCCUACCUGUCAUUUUUUUCAUUGUAUUCCAAGGUUAAGUCCGGUUAGGUUACUGUUUCUGUGGAGUGUAAGACUGAACCAACUGUACAAUUUCCACUGAACUCUUUCUUUGCAGAUGAAUGCUACAGAAGCAGUUCUUGAGGACGCUAGAAGAAGGUUCAAGAAGGAAAUUCUUCUGAAAACCAAGGAGGUGCAUCUGAUUGCCCUUGAAUUGAGUAUGAGUUUGUGGACCUGGACGAAACAUUUUACGAACCCGCUGAGCUAGCUGCUGCUGCAGCUCUGGAUCGUCCAUUAGAGAGAAUUGGUGGGGAUACUUCAAAGCCAGUUAUGGACCAUCAUUUAGAUGAGCAAGAUUUAGCGCUAAAGGAUCCUGUUGCUUCAUCAGCUCCCAAAAAGCCAUCAAAUGAUACUGAUGUUGGUCACGUCUGUAAAUUGCCCAGAUGUUGGGAGCAUCAACCUUUCCGUGGCACGG